CAUUUUUUGUAAUACUAGUUGGUGGUAAUGAACUCCUUUAGCUUUUUCUUGUUGGGGAAGCUCUAUUUCUUCCUCUAUGUUAAGUGAUAUCUUUGAUGGGUAAAGUAGUCUUGAUUACAGGACCUUGCUUUUCAUCACUUUGAAUAUUUCAUGUCAAUCCCUUCUGGUCUGAAACGUUUGUUGAGACAUCAGCUGACAGUCCCAUGGGAGCUCCAUUGUAGGUAACUUUUUCUUUUAUGGCUUUUAAGAUUAUCUCUGACUUUAACCUUUGUCAUUUUAGUUACAGUGUGUCUUGGUGUGGGCCUCUUUGGCUAAAACUAGUUUGAGACAG
Pipistrellus kuhlii (Kuhl's pipistrelle) is the source of this 331-nucleotide long non-coding RNA. RefSeq lists it as uncharacterized. The record is from RefSeq and is a predicted model, not a curated record. The transcript is spliced from 3 exons. Lineage: Eukaryota; Metazoa; Chordata; Mammalia; Chiroptera; Vespertilionidae.